GUCCGAUGAUUUUUUGUCUUUUAAACCAGAAAGACGGCUGACAGAUCUAACCGACACUCGCGCCACAGAAACUAAUUGAACAGAGCAAAGGCAGCGUGGAGUGCUGGGAUGUCAAAGGCCACAAGAUGGCUGCAAUACUACGGGCCUAAAGUGAA
Long non-coding RNA from Sinocyclocheilus grahami, 155 nucleotides. RefSeq lists it as uncharacterized. The record is from RefSeq and is a predicted model, not a curated record. The transcript has 2 exons. NCBI's taxonomy places the organism in Eukaryota, Metazoa, Chordata, Actinopteri, Cypriniformes, Cyprinidae.